UAACCACCCCGCAGGAGAAACGCGGUUCCUCUCGAUCCCCUCCCGUCGCCGCCGCCGUCCUCUCGAUCCCCCCAUCUAUCGUUGCCGCCGCCGCCGCCGUCCGAGGGGGAGCCGCCGCCGCCGCCGCCGUCCGAGAGGGAGCCGCCGCCGCCGCCGCCUCUGCAAGGCAGGGCGGUUUGAACCCCGCAGCCGCCGAACUCCGGGAGAUGCCGUCGCCGCCUCCUCUCCAGGGCAGGGCGGUUUCAGUCCCUGCCGCCGAACUCCGGAAGACGCCGUCGCCGCCGAACUCCAUGACUCAUGGCUGCCACACAUCUUCCUCCAGGCACGGCCGCACCCCUGCAAAUCACAACCAGCGCCAUGAUGGCCAUGGCCUUCCCACGCAUCGGCGCUCCCCUGCAGAUCUUGCUCCAUCGAUGGCCUGUACAUCGGCCAAGGUCGAGGGCGCUGCACCAUCCUUCUAGCGUGUGGACGGUCGCCGGUGGUAGGUCGACAAGGAGGAGGAGCCCAUCAGCACGCCAUGUCUCCCAGCCACUCCUGAGAUGGGCGAUCCAAAGGGAUCAAAAGGAGGAAGAGGAGACCCCUUGUAGCGCAGAUGUCCAACGUCCAUGCUCUUCUUCAUCCACCUGCCUCUCUUAUCUCCUCUGGCUGGAGGUCGAUGGCGGAUCAAUGCCUUGCUCUGCCCUGCCCCGAUCUGCAAGGAAGGAAGGCGGCAGCAGGGAUUGGAGAGAGGAGACGAGAGGACGGAUGCUGAUCGGGGAUAGACGAGGUGGUCUCGGUCCAGAGUAAGACGAGAAUGACAACUGGAAGGCAAGACGACGUUGGAUGGAAGGGAGAUGGAGCGAGACAGAAGGGGCAUGAGGAGAGGCCGCCGUGGAUAUUUUUGUAGCCACUCGCAUGUGUGCUUGCUUGCUGAUUUUCGCAUGUGGGCGUGGUGUGCCCUUGCCGCUGUGCGUGGUGUGCUGUUGAACGUGUGUGUUGUGUGCUUGCUCUCGCGCUAUCUGAAGCCGCCUGAACUUAGAAGACGACAGAGGCGUCAGCAGCUGCAGGUGGCCCGGAGGUGGGGGAGUGGCACUGCCUGCAGUCGGUGGCCUUCUUGAGAGCGCUGCGGGCGACGCUCCCCCCAACCAGCCCCAUGGUGUGUCUGCAGGGGACGGAAAUCGCGCGUCCACGAGGCCAGCACAAGAUCAGACUGAUCAGCUAUGGUUGUGGUUCCUCGUUGCCCGAAGGUGAAAAUACCAUGCUGCUCGGUACUUGUCCUCCCAUGUAUGAACCGUUGCAGAUGCAGGUGAUGUGAACAUAUUUGUAUGCGUGUAUGUAGCCAUGAUGCAAAAUUCAGUUUACGUGAUGUGUGUCUUCAAAGAAUUUGGCAGUUUUGGCACUAGGAUUUUUUGGCUAAAUGCAUCGCCUCAACCAUAAGUAGAACACAAACAAUUGUGAGACAUAUCUGAUUGAUACAUACGUGGACCUUUAGACAAUAUAGAACUGAAUAGUUUUCAUCAUACCAAUUAGCUACCUAUUUUUUACAUUUAAAUUCUUUGUGAACUACUGUAAUUGUUAGAUACAUAUGAGUUUGAAUAAUUAUUAGUAGCACGUACAUGUCUAUCAUUGCUGAUAAUGCUAGGUACGUCCAUAGUUUAAUGAAAGAUUUACAGUUUCGGUAUUGUCCUAAAUUAUUUGUUGUUAUAUCCAUGGUUUAAUGAAAGCUUUACAGUUUAUCUGGACGUCAAACAUUCCAAGCUUCCUUUUUGACAGCCGACAGGUGAACUAAGAAAGGAAGGCUUGCUCGAAAAGUUUUACUGUCUUUCUGGCAACUUCUCAAACAAGUCAACAUUAUCACUCACCCUGUAGAUGGCCGGAGAAUGCGCAGAGCGCCAACGACAACCUCAAACAAAUGCAGCAGAGCAAGAUGUUGCAGUCUGUCAAAUAGAUCCAUAUCAGGUGGAAACCUAAAUUAAGUUCAUGCAAGGUGGAAACUAUCUAGAAAUAUUUUCAUAAAUUGCGAAGAAUCCUACUGAUAUUGUUGAUGGGGCAUUUCAAGAUAAAACAGAAGAUCUUCUCGGGUACAACUAGACUGCUUGCAGGAAAAACAAGUAAUCUACUUGAAUGGCUCUGCAAUUACACCGAGGAUGGAAAACUUAUCCACUCUGCAGGUGUACUAUUGGCUUCUCAAGAGUAGAUCCAUGAAGGCUGUUCCUCCAAUAUAAAUGGUUGUAGAGAAGAUAGGUUUGACAUUAUCCAUAGACACAUAUUGAGGCUUUCUUUUUUCUUGAGAUGCAGCAAAGGGUUCAAAUGGAAUGACAAAGAAACUUAUAGAGGAAAGGAAAGCACAUACUGAUUGUGUAGGGCUUUUUGUUGAUGUAAUUUUCCAUGCCGGUGAACCACUUUCUGCAUAUAUUCAGGCGGAUUCAGAGGUAAGAGUUUUUUAUAUGUUGCUGUUGCGGUGCCUCAGAUGUCUGUUACUUAAAAUUUUAAUAUUUCUAUUUUACUAUUGUUAGCUUUGUUUUGUGAAAAAAAAUCUUGU
This is a long non-coding RNA of Triticum aestivum (bread wheat), 2521 nucleotides long. RefSeq lists it as uncharacterized. NCBI's taxonomy places the organism in Eukaryota, Viridiplantae, Streptophyta, Magnoliopsida, Poales, Poaceae. The transcript is spliced from 3 exons. The record is from RefSeq and is a predicted model, not a curated record.